This 725-nucleotide ribosomal RNA is filed under the name uncultured eukaryote. Its description in RNAcentral is "SSU rRNA". It matches the Rfam family "Eukaryotic small subunit ribosomal RNA", at positions 671 to 1426 of the family's 1831-position model. The record is from RNAcentral.
GGUGUUUACUGUCGAACUGAACACUCUACCGUUUACUGUCUGGUGGUGCUCUUCACCGAGUGUCACCAGUGGUCGGUACGUUUACUUUGAAAAAAUUAGAGUGCUCAAAGCGGUUUUUACACGACCGAUACUGUUGCAUGGAUAUGAAAUAGACUUUGGUUCUAUUUUGUGGUCUCGGACCAAGGUAAUGAUAGAGGGACAGACGGGGGCAUUAGUAUUGCGACGCUAGAGGUGAAAUUCUUGGACCGUCGCAAGACUAACUAAAGCGAAAGCAUUUGCCAAGAAUGUUUUCAUUAAUCAAGAACGAAAGUAGAGGUUCGAAGGCGAUCAGAUACCGCCCUAGUUCUAACCAUAAACGAUGCCAACCAGCAAUCAGCCUGUGUUCUCUUGAUGACACGGCUGGCGGCUUCCGGGAAACCAAAGUCUUUCGGUUCCAGGGGAAGUAUGGUUGCAAAGCUGAAACUUAAAGGAAUUGACGGAAGGGCACCACCAGGAGUGGAGCCUGCGGCUUAAUUUGACUCAACACGGGGAAACUCACCCGGCCCGGACACUGUGAGGAUUGACAGGUUGAAGCCCUUUCUUGAUUCAGUGGGUGGUGGUGCAUGGCCGUUCUUAGUUGGUGGAGUGAUUUGUCUGGUUAAUUCCGAUAACGAACCAGACUCUAGCCUACUAAUUAGACCGUGGCGUCCUCGUGCCGCCACGGCGCUUCCUAGAGGGACAGACGG